UACGAAGGCCCCGAGCGUUAUCCGGAUUUAUUGGGUUUAAAGGGUGCGUAGGCGGUUGAUUAAGUCAGUUGUGAAAUACGGCAGCUUAACUGUCGAGGUGCAAUUGAUACUGGUUGACUUGAGUACAGACGAGGUAGGCGGAAUUGACAGUGUAGCGGUGAAAUGCAUAGAUAUCGUCAAGAACACCGAUAGCGAAGGCAGCUUACUAGACUGUAACUGACGCUGAGGCACGAAAGUGUGGGAAUCAAACAGG
RNAcentral lists this ribosomal RNA (253 nucleotides) under uncultured bacterium. RNAcentral describes it as "partial 16S ribosomal RNA". It matches the Rfam family "Bacterial small subunit ribosomal RNA", at positions 524 to 776 of the family's 1533-position model. The record is from RNAcentral.